UCUCUGAAUCUCAAUCUCGAUUGACUCUCUCUCUAUAUCUCUCAAACCCCGGUCGUCGGAGCCCACAAUUCCGACCAUGUACACUGCGUUGAAAUCCACUGCUU
Cucurbita maxima (winter squash) is the source of this 104-nucleotide long non-coding RNA. RefSeq lists it as uncharacterized. NCBI's taxonomy places the organism in Eukaryota, Viridiplantae, Streptophyta, Magnoliopsida, Cucurbitales, Cucurbitaceae. The record is from RefSeq and is a predicted model, not a curated record. The transcript is spliced from 4 exons.